UCCACACUUGUAGUCGCUUGAGGUUGGAGUCAAAACCAGGUCCCUGGUUCUGUGAGGUAGCAGUGCUAACCACUGAGCCACCGUGCUGCCCUUCUACCAUCCUCCGAAAGAUGAAACAGCUAAAUAAAGUUGUUCACUUCACUUCCGCCCUCUAAGAUGAAGGUGGACUAGAACAUCUCAGCUGGGCCCAACAUUGCGGUUUCUCAGCCCGGCGUGGCCUCAGCUUGGAUUUCCAUCCCCGAGAUGAUUCCAGGGCAGUCUCCCAGCCUUGGGAACCUCGAGGUGAAGACUGCCGCAGUCUGGAGUCGAGGCCCAGCAUGGACUGGAGACUGGGUGUGGGCGUGGACUGGAUUGGAAGGACUGCUAUUCUGAACUUGUUAUUCCGUUACUUUUCUCAUUUUUUCCUAUUAUCUGUAAUGCUUGACUUUUUAUUUCUUUAUUUUUCUAUUUUAUUACAUAAGAAUUUGUACUUAAAAAUCUGUACCUAGGUAUCUUUUUACCUAAGGUGGUGCCGUUAGUGGCGAUUUGUGAACUUUUCACUGCACUUAUGCGACAAUAAAGCUAAUUCUAAUUCUAAUUCUAA
Rhincodon typus (whale shark) is the source of this 583-nucleotide long non-coding RNA. RefSeq lists it as uncharacterized. The transcript is spliced from 2 exons. The record is from RefSeq and is a predicted model, not a curated record. Lineage: Eukaryota; Metazoa; Chordata; Chondrichthyes; Orectolobiformes; Rhincodontidae.